GAACUUAUCUACAUUCAAGCAAAACUAGCUCUUUUAUAAGACAUGUAGUUGCUACCCUUUUGGGCCUUUAUCUUGCACUUUUUUGCUUUGGAUGGUAUGCCUUACACUUUCUUGUACAAAGUGGAAUUUCCUACUGUAUCAUGAUCAUCAUAGGAGUGGAGAACAUGCACAAUUACUGCUUUGUGUUUGCUCUGGGAUACCUCACAGUGUGCCAAGUUACUCGAGUCUAUAUCUUUGACUAUGGACAAUAUUCUGCUGAUUUUUCAGGCCCAAUGAUGAUCAUUACUCAGAAGAUCACUAGUUUGGCUUGCGAAAUUCAUGAUGGGAUGUUUCGGAAGGAUGAAGAACUGACUUCCUCACAGAGGGAUUUAGCUGUAAGGCGCAUGCCAAGCCUACUGGAGUAUUUGAGUUACAACUGUAACUUCAUGGGGAUCCUGGCAGGCCCACUUUGCUCUUACAAAGACUACAUUACUUUCAUUGAAGGCAGAUCAUACCAUAUCACACAAUCUGGUGAAAAUGGAAAAGAAGAGACACAGUAUGAAAGAACAGAGCCAUCUCCAAAUGUAAGGUCAUGAGAUUUAUCUGGAGCCUUUAUAGCAUGUAUUGACUGCGGUGAUUCAGAAGCUCUUAGUUUGUGGGCUGUCCUUGUUAUUUCACUUGACCGUCUGUGCGACAUUGCCUGUGGAGUACAACAUUGAUGAGCAUUUUCAAGC
RNAcentral lists this small RNA (713 nucleotides) under Pongo abelii (Sumatran orangutan). RNAcentral describes it as "processed transcript". The record is from RNAcentral. Lineage: Eukaryota; Metazoa; Chordata; Mammalia; Primates; Hominidae.